Drosophila santomea is the source of this 508-nucleotide long non-coding RNA. RefSeq lists it as uncharacterized. NCBI's taxonomy places the organism in Eukaryota, Metazoa, Arthropoda, Insecta, Diptera, Drosophilidae. The record is from RefSeq and is a predicted model, not a curated record. The transcript has 2 exons.
ACUGCCAGAUAUUUAUUUGCUUUGUUUUCAUAAAAACAAUGAACUCUGGAUCACCUAAGCCUUCCACUAACUCAAGCUGUUGCCCAGCAUAAAUAUUUCUGCGCCAUUUUCCAAGCAAAAAAACUGUGCUCUAAUGCGCCUAAGCUGGCACCCGAAUAAAGAAAUAAAGGCAAACCGAAAGCGAAUGUAAUCUAAUCAGUUUUGAGCACAAAUGGUCCCUGGACUUUGGGCUCUCCGCCUUGGACUUGGACUUUUGCUUGGAUGUCUUGCAAAUUAUGCGAAACCAUUUCGAAAUUGAACGCAUGACAGGCGGCUCCCCCUGUCCCCCCAGCCCCAUUUUCACCCAUAUACAAUGUGUAUAUACUAUCCCCAGCAUUACGACAUUGGUCAGCAGAAAAGUUGCAAGUCAGGCGAAUGGGCAGUGUCCUUACUGCUCUAAUAAUAAAACAGCUUGGGACAAAAGAAAAGAAAAACUAAUAAAACAAAAGUUUCCCCCAUUGCCCUCGUC